GCAGAUGUUCCGGAAUGAAACUGCUUUCAGUUGGGUGUUAUAGUUCGUACUGCACAAAGGUUGUGUACACUGAGAGAAAAGUGGAAUCGAGCGGAAAACUUGUAGCAAUUUGUAAUAUUUUGUCACCUGGAAGCAGCGUUUGGAAGACACCAACGGCGCUCAACAACUAUUUAUUAAUAAUUAAACAAGUGCAAACAACAUGAUGACACAAUCCUCUACAAGGGUCCGUGGCUGCAAGUUGCAGCAGUUCGUCAAUCCGAAGCAGAACUGAAUGACGUGUGGUGCGUCGAUUCCGGCUACCGAUUCGCGCCAAUAUGCGAACCUGAACAUAUAUAAUGUACUGAAACGCGUAAUCACGACAUUGUUUCACAGGUAUAACCAGGUCUUGCCUGGCCCAUAAACGCACCCCUUGUUGAAGUUCGAACGACUGGCUGCUGCUGUUACAUUGCUGGAAUUAUGUCUUUAUUGGGGCACUCGGUACACGGGAAUCGUUCGAUGUCGCGUGUCUUAUCGCAAUAAACCGUGCGAAGUUGGUGGUGAAAUUUAUGCACAGGAUGUUCGAAUGGAACGCAACGUGUUGCUAAACUCGUUUCUGGUGGAUUAGCUUAUCAGACGCUGUACUGUGUAUACUGUUGAGUGGAUCGACAGUGUGACACGGCUCCCAGAGAACUGCACCUGGGGUGAGGUUUUUGGCAAUGACAAAUCUAUUACCAGAAAUGUGUUUGUGUGCUUUUGUUUAUGAUGCCCGAGCUGGUUAAUGAAUGAGUUUGCUAACAGGGUUUCUUGUGAUUGCGAUAAACAUUUUAGGUUUUAUGUUUGUUUACCUCUGAAUAAUGAAGCACGUGAUGACCGAUGACACUGCCAAUAAAAUAUUCGUGAAUGGUGGAAUAAUUUAUUCGAACAAGUAAUUUAAAAAACAUCAAUUGUUUCGGGUAGUGGAAAACAAAAACUGUUAUUUAUUUCAAAAUAGAUUUGAAUUUCAAACAGUG
Wyeomyia smithii (pitcher-plant mosquito) is the source of this 989-nucleotide long non-coding RNA. RefSeq lists it as uncharacterized. Lineage: Eukaryota; Metazoa; Arthropoda; Insecta; Diptera; Culicidae. The transcript is spliced from 2 exons. The record is from RefSeq and is a predicted model, not a curated record.